AAAAAGGUAAGCUAAUCAAGCUAAUAGGUUCAUACCCUGUAUAUAAAAGUCUCAAUCUUUUCCUUUUUA
Molecule: transfer RNA, 69 nt
Filed under: Stricticollis tobias
Lineage: Eukaryota; Metazoa; Arthropoda; Insecta; Coleoptera; Anthicidae
Description: tRNA-Met
Source: RNAcentral